RNAcentral lists this long non-coding RNA (227 nucleotides) under Elaeis guineensis (African oil palm). RNAcentral's name for it is "long non-coding RNA (EGUI_LNC026808)". Lineage: Eukaryota; Viridiplantae; Streptophyta; Magnoliopsida; Arecales; Arecaceae. The record is from RNAcentral.
UUUUAAUAUUAUUUUUUAAAAUUAAUAUUUUUUUAUUAUUUAAAAAUUUAUUUUAAACUCUUAGGACUCUAUACCAAACACCCACAACCCCCCUCCGACAUGACCUAUGGCUCCUCCGCAUCACCCACAACCCACAUAUUUUUUUAAAUUAUUUUUAAAAAUAAUAUUUUAUAAUUAUAUAAAUUAUUUUAUUAUUACUUUAAAAAAAAUUUCUUCGUUCGUUCUCC